This 378-nucleotide ribosomal RNA is filed under the name uncultured bacterium. Its description in RNAcentral is "bacterial SSU rRNA". It matches the Rfam family "Bacterial small subunit ribosomal RNA", at positions 30 to 400 of the family's 1533-position model. The record is from RNAcentral.
AGUGAACGCUGGCGGCAGGCCUAACACAUGCAAGUCGAGCGGCAGCACGGCAAUAGCAAUAUUGUGGGUGGCGAGCGGCGGACGGGUGAGGAAUGCAUCGGGAUCUACCCUGUCGUGGGGGACAACGUAGGGAAACUUACGCUAAUACCGCAUGAUCUGGAGACAGCAAAGCCGGGGACCCGCGAGGGCCUGGCGCGAUGGGAUGAGCCGAUGUCCGAUUAGCUAGUUGGCGGGGUAAAGGCCCACCAAGGCGACGAUCGGUAGCUGGUCUGAGAGGACGACCAGCCACACUGGAACUGAGACACGGUCCAGACUCCUACGGGAGGCAGCAGUGGGGAAUAUUGGACAAUGGGGGCAACCCUGAUCCAGCCAUGCCGC